This 106-nucleotide small RNA is filed under the name Halpernia frigidisoli. RNAcentral's name for it is "Chryseobacterium frigidisoli Flavo-1 RNA". Lineage: Bacteria; Pseudomonadati; Bacteroidota; Flavobacteriia; Flavobacteriales; Weeksellaceae. The record is from RNAcentral.
AAAUUGCAGCCUGACUUGAGUGGAAAUCCUUUUUGCCUGCGGAAAAUUUUCUAUUAAAAAAACAAUUUCGAAGCAAAAAGAUUGGGAACGGAAGGCGGAAAAGCUG